CAGGGCCAAGGGGGAGAAAAGAUGGGGAAUAAUUUAAGUUUUCAUGCUAAUCAAGGCAAAGAGGCUCGAAAUACGGCCCUUAGGCAGGAUGUGGCCAUGGUUUAGUUCCUUUGGGCCACGAGACUUGGUGGUGGGUCCCCAAAGUGGCAUGGCCCAUGUAGCAGGUCCUGUGGUGGUAAUGGGAUGGGUAAACGGGGACCUAAUGCCGGCCCCAAGGGCAUUGACUGCACCUGGGCACGGUGUGGGAGAGCACAAACCUGGGCUGUAAUGACUUGGUGCAGCUGCUUUUAUUCAGGCUGUAAUUAAUGGCACAAAAUCAGAGCAUCCUUCUUUCCUCCAGGAAUACCCGGGCUGUAAAACCCAGCAGUGCGGAAGGUUGAUUUUAACCUUUUCUCCCCGUUAUUCCCCAGCCCACUGACAGAGCCCUGGCUGGCAGGAGGGGAAGCACAUUGAGAAUUAAUCCCUCGCCAGGGGUCGAGGUGCAGCCCCACAGCAGACACCACAGCUUGGGCUUAAUUAGUGAGAGCGGCUGGUGAAGCGCAGUGGGGACGUGGGACCCCGUCACCCACAUUCAUGGGGACUGGGGAUGGCCACGGCACAACGAACGUCGCACGGUGGUGGCCAGGAGGCUUCUUUCCUUCUGGCAGAGGCACAGAAACCCCCGCUGGUGCCUGCCCACCAAAGCGUGCGUCUCUGGUUCAAAUGUGUCUGGCAUCCAUCUUAUUCCUCCCCCUCCUCUCGCAUCUCUCCUGGGCUGCCAUGGUUACCUCUGCAGGACUGACCCAGCCAGAAGAAACGCUAUUUAUUUUCCUUCUUUCUGUGCAGAAUGAACAAACACUUAUUUUGCCAGUUUAAUUAAGACUUUUCACUAAAAAAAAAAUCCCCCCUUCCCCCUCGGUGUGUUUAUUUUUCCAGCAGGCACAAGCUGUUUGUAAGAAAGACGUGAAUCAGUUUUCAGUUGCUGGACUGGAGCUGCGAAAAGUUUUCCUGCCCGAAAUGACAAGAGGAAAAAGCAGCCCCCUCCCAGGUCCUGAAUCACCUCACACUGCUGUGCUUUUCAUACGGCUCCUGCUGCAGCAGCUUUCGGCUCCGUCUCGAGGCAGCCUGCAGAGGAGGACGGCACGAUUUCUGCUUUGCAUAAAGGGAAAGUGAGGCACCAAGCCAGGAACAAGCCAGAACCAUCCGUCAGAGGCAGGGCCAGCCAGGAGCCCUCCACUUCUGUCAAUUUAGGCAGCACGGAGAGGUUUCCAUGAGGGGCUCCGAGCACUGGGGUUUGUUUGGCCCAAUUGAGGACCAGCUGCUAUGAGGCAGCUACCGUGGCUGACACAGGCUGCCUCACACUUCACAUUUAAAUAUUUCCUGAAGACCUUGAGAAGUAAAAAACCUCUCUGCUGAAUCUGACUGUGUGUAUAGUGAGGGGUGAGGCCCUGGGGAAGCUUUUCUCCCCUCAAAUCCUGUCAGUGAGCGCACGGCCCCGGUGCUGCAGGGCCUCGCUCUUCGCACUGUGGCAGGCCCCGAAGCAACCUCCUCGUGAUAAAAUGAUCGUGACACUGCCUGUGACUUCCACAGCAGCUCCUUCACGUGGAUUUACAAACCCUCAGCCGCUUCAGCAAGCAGAAACCACCAUCGUCAUGUCUGCACACUGGCACACCACCGGGCUGCCCGUGCUUCACAAAGGUGGAUGCAACGAGCGUAAUGCACAGGCUCGGGCCUGAGGCUCUGGGUUCUUAGGGUGACAACUUAAAUCCCCUAUAAAUACAAAUUUGAGCUGGACUGGUUAACAAGGAGAAAGACUCCCAAGGAUUCUCAAACUACAAGGCCCACGCUUCCUCCUCCUUCUCCCCGGCCUACUCAGCUCAGCCGAGUUUCUCGCACGGCCUUUGUGUGUGGAGAAAAAUCUUCCUCGAGAGUUAAUUACAAGGUGAAAUAUGCCCGAUUCUUUUAUUCCAUUUUCGAGUGAUGAUAAAGAAGCUGAAGCACCACAAACGUUGUAAACUCUUAUUAGGAUUAAUGCUCCUGCAACUGAGGCUUUUAUCACCUUAAUGACGCUAUUUCUCUCACGCCCAUGACACACACACAAAGCAGAGGUAUGGAUGCUGGAGUCUCUACACCCAACCACCCAGGAAUCCCUAAUGUGUAGGAAAUACGGUGUGGAGACGGCAACAGCAAAUAGUUUUUAUUACAGACCUCUUCUUCCACUGCCUUAAUCUCCCCAAAGCUAUAAACUGAAGUUGUUAUAUCUUACAAACGUGUAGAUGCACACACAGGCAGAUGUGGAAGAGGCAUGCGGAUGCUUUUAUAAACCACAGAAUGUGCUUCCUCCUUGGCAUUACUAUGCUUUUUUAUUUUUAACACCAAAUAAAUACAAAGCAAUUCCAUAAAAAAAAAAAAAAAAA
Non-coding RNA from Anas platyrhynchos (mallard), 2396 nucleotides. The record is from RefSeq and is a predicted model, not a curated record. NCBI's taxonomy places the organism in Eukaryota, Metazoa, Chordata, Aves, Anseriformes, Anatidae.